AUUUAACUUACUAUUUAAGAAGCAACUAUAUUUCAAAAAUCAUCUUUCUAUCUACGGCUCUGCUAUUCCACAUAUUGGUAAGUUUUCAAUUAUUUUCUUACAAACGGUAUUCUUGUUGUUUUAAUUUGUCCAAUACAAUUUAUUAUCGCUAUUUUGUGCAUUUUUCUUUUGAUGUUUUUUGUGAUUAAUUUCAUAUCAUGCUUCUUGCUUGAGAUGGAAAAAUUAUCGUUAGAAACUAAGGAGGCCACGUUGCGUUGCUAACGAAAUUGAGAUGAAAUUGACAACGUCGUCAUAGGUAAAAUAGCGAUAAACAGAUUAUCAUUGGUCAUCUCAACUCGAUUGCUUUUCUCCCUUUCGCUGUACCAGCUCAAGCGAGGAAAUCAAUCUCGUUGAGAUGCUCAACGAUAAUCUAUAAAUAUGUAACAUAUAGUGAAACCUGGCUUAACCGAAUCCUGUAUAAACCGAAAACCUGUAUAAACAAAGUUUGUUUUUAAAAACCGUCAUACCAACUGUAUGCGUUGUGAAUCUACUUAAACCUAACAUCGGCCAAAACCGAACAAAAUCUUAAGUCCCAAAGAGGUUCGGUUUAAACAAGUUUCAAUGUAACAGAGUAUUUAAUUAGAUAACUUUCAUCUCAUCUAAACAUCAAAUGUGCAAUUGGCACUCACACCACAUCUUCCUAUAUCUAAUUAAAGUUUAAUUGAAAGAUAAAAUAUUACUUUACUUUAACAAUUUACCAAAAGUUGCCUAGCCGUUAAAUUUCAAUGUAAUGUUUUUACCUGACAAUUUUUUUUUUUUUUUACCGUUGUAGUGGCUGGUUUUGAGAUAUUUAUGUCUUUUUUUCGAAUGCCACCUUUUUAUACUCUCUCUAAUAUUUUAAUGCAUGUACCCGUUAGGAAGAUGCAUUACUUUCUGAAAUUUCAAUGUGUUCUGCGGCUGUUUGAAUAUAUAAAAAGAAAAUGUAGUAUUAUUGCUAAUAAGACAACUGUCCACAAGAGCCCAAAAUGACACAUUAAUUAACAACUUUAGGUCACCGUACGGCCUUCAACAACGAUCAAAGUCCAUACCGCAUAGUCAGCUAUAAAAGGCACCGACAUGAAAGAGUAAAACAGUUCAAACGAGAAAACUAACGACCUUAUUUAUACGGUUGGGUGCAGACCAAGCAUUUCAUGUUACUGUUUGUAGUAAACGCGCGUUAACGUAGAUUGUACUCGUAUCCUUGAUACACUGACCUAAUAUAUCACAUGAUAAGGUACAUCAAAAUAUCCAUCUGUCCAUUUUCGAUCAACAUAUUGACGAUUGCAUUUAAUGAAAUGACACUUCUUUAAUUAAUUUAUUGAAAAUUUUUUUUUUUAAAUAUGCCAGUUUAAUUGUGAGUCGAUAUUUGUACAUGUAAAUUUUGAACAGAAAAAUAGAAAAUCCGCUGUUGAAUGUUUUUGGAACUGACUUUUUUUGCAAUUAAUAAAUGUUUAUAUUUCUAAUAGAAAGUAUUUUUGAUUGUUAAGGUUCAAAACACAUAUACGUAAAAUAUUAAGCUAGUGAAAUCUGAAGUAAAUGGCCGUUUACUACUGACUAAACGGACACAGAGUUAACGCGCGUUUAAUCGAGUAGACAUUAUAAUUUCCCAUUUUGACCGCGUUAACGUAAAUGAAGUAACGGGCGUUUACUGUAACGCUAAAUUUAAAGUCAACUAACGAAUAUGUGAAAACUUGCGUUUACUUUAUGUAAUGCUUGGUCUGCACCCAACUGUAUUAAAAAAUGAACGAAAAACAAAUACAACACAUACACAAACGACAACCACUGAUUAACAGGCUUCUGACUUGAGAAUGCCACAUACAUAUUUAAAAUCCAUAAUAUAUGUUAAUUAUUAAAGACACAAUAGACUAUUCUGAUUCAAAUCAAACAAAACAAAAAACUAUAUUGAAAGGCGGAUAGGAUUUUAAAAAAUCCCUAAAAUACUAAUUUCAAAAUUAAAAAGAGGUUGAAAUGACAAACAGACAUUCGAACACCGAACAGACUAAACAUAUAAACUUUGUUAGCAAUGAAAAAUCGUGUCAGUACAGCCUGGUAACAAAUAUAUAUUCUGAAUUAGUUAGUUCAUUGUCAAGCUUUAUUCGGAUCAUGGUACAUUUCCGUUACAGAACAAGGAGUAUUAUAUGUUAAUAUUGCACAACACAUACUUUUCUUGAUAUUACAUUAUAAAUAACAAGUAAUUAAGUUUUAUCUAAUAAUAAGUCAUACCAAAUUUGUAAAUUUUAGGAUGAUUUCUUAUCCUUAAACUUGACUGAAAACAAAAUGUUGAAUUUAAAACACGUUUUUCAUAGAUAAGACUGUAAAUAGUUAUCAAAGGUACCAGGAUUAUAAUUCAGUACGCCAUACGCGCGUUUGGUCUUCAUAAGACUCGUAAGUGACGCUCAUAUCAAAAUAGUAGUAAAGCCAAACAAGUACAAAGUUGAAGAGCAUUCAGAGUUCAAAAUUCAUAAAAGUUGUGCCAAAUACGGCUAAGGUAAUCUAUUCCUGGGAUAAAAAAAUACUUAGUUUUUCGAAAAUUCAAAGUUUUGUAAUACUUACAUGUAUAAGCAACAAUGACAUUCAAAAUAGAAAAUCACAAAGAACAAAACACGAAGAAUUCCACAUUUUUUUUAUUGUUGACAGUCCGAUUACCCAUUUCGUUUUUAACACAUGAAAAGUGAAUUACAGUGGUGUUGAUAAGUAAUGCUCGUUAUCAAGAUACUUUGAAAGCAAAACUUUAAACCUCUUUAAUGUUUACAACCUGACAGUACUUUUAUAAAUCAUAUAAACCCUUCUACUGGUAAGUAGGGACUAUGGUUUGAAAACUGUUACAUGUUUUUGGAACUUCAAAUAAGCGAUCAAAAUAUAAUAUUUAAUGCAUACAGGCUCACUGUGCUUACUUCUGGGUUACAUUUUUUUCUAAAUAAAUCCGUAUUUGAAGACAAAACUUUGGCGUCCUGCGUAAAUAUAUUAAAAUUUCAAUCCUUUAUCGAUAAUGAGUUUAUUUCUAAAUAACAUGGAAUAUAAAUUGAUACGGAUGAGAUCUCAUUUCAGAAUUAUGAUGAAGUGGUGUUGUUUGAUUGUUUUCAUCUUUUGCACAAUUGGUGUGUCAAAGGGCGGCAGUAAGUAUCCUAUAUGUUUAAAACACUGUAGUGAAGAUUAAAGAUUAAGCUGCUAGACUCUCUCAUAAUAUAAAAAGGUACGGUCAUAUCACUGUGAUCAAAAGUUCUUCUUUCGAGAGUCAAAAGAUACAGACAUCGUUUGAACCUUUUUGUGUUACAGAUAUUCAAUCAUGUUAACACAGUUAUCUACCGUUUGUUUUUAUAGUAAAUUGGGGAUAGAUACCUUCAGUUUACAACGAUAAUAUCAGUACUUUUGUCGAGCUACGAAACUGUACAAAACUGUUCAAUGCUACUCUCUUAGUUAACAUAAGAACAAUAAUAACAAAAUCUGCAUUUAAGAAGAACUAAUUUUAAAACAUUUUAAGCAGAUCUACGAGCAUCUCGAGCAAACUUAGUAACUUAGCUACUCGCUUGAGAUGGAAAAUUAUCGCUAGAAACUUAGGAGGAACGUGGCUUUGCUAACGAAAUUGACAUAACAUUGACAACGUCAUCAUAGGUAAAAUAGCGAUCAACAGACUUUCUCGCUUUCGCUGUCCCGGUUCAAGCGAAAAUCAAUCUCGUUGAAUGAUACGAUAAUACAUAAAUAUCAAAGGAAAAUCACUAUAUAUUGUAUCGGAGUACUCUACUAUAAUGCUCUUUCAGAAAAAUGCCUCGCCUCCAAUGGUAAAUGUGGGAAAAAAAAUGUGUCAUGUAAUGAGACGUUCGGACCUGAAUGGACGUAUAACGGAAAAUGCUGCAGUGGACGACCAUGUUGCAAAU
RNAcentral lists this long non-coding RNA (3893 nucleotides) under Mytilus galloprovincialis (Mediterranean mussel). The record is from RNAcentral. Lineage: Eukaryota; Metazoa; Mollusca; Bivalvia; Mytilida; Mytilidae.